AUGGUAGCAGAGAUAACCUUAUGUCUAACUGCAAUACUGGAAAAUAUGGCUGAUUCUGCGAGUAAAUCUAAGAAAAAAGAAGGAAAAAGAAGUAUAAUUCUCUCUGAAGAUGAAACCUGUGACAUUCCUGAAAUAUUAAUGAGAAGUCCUACAGAACAACUGCAGCUUGCUUAUGAAAAUCUUGAAAAAACAAUUAAUGAAAUGAACAAAUCUCGCUUAAUGUCCUUUCUACCGGAUGGAAAGUCAAUAUUUGACAACUGCUGUACAAAGGUAAAUUCUACAGAAAGCUGUAUUGCAACUAAAUCUAGAAAUAAUAUAUUGGAUUUUUUUUUUGUC
This 336-nucleotide long non-coding RNA is filed under the name Pavo cristatus (Indian peafowl). RNAcentral describes it as "lncRNA (ENSPSTG00000017091.1)". The record is from RNAcentral. Lineage: Eukaryota; Metazoa; Chordata; Aves; Galliformes; Phasianidae.